Molecule: ribosomal RNA, 1285 nt
Filed under: metagenome
Description: bacterial SSU rRNA
Rfam family: Bacterial small subunit ribosomal RNA
Source: RNAcentral
UAGCUAGUUGGUGAGGUAAAGGCUUACCAAGGCGACGAUCUGUAGCGGGUCUGAGAGGAUGAUCCGCCACACUGGAACUGAGACACGGUCCAGACUCCUACGGGAGGCAGCAGUAGGGAAUUUUGGACAAUGGGGGCAACCCUGAUCCAGCCAUGCCGCGUGAGUGAAGAAGGCCUUCGGGUUGUAAAGCUCUUUCGGCCGGGAAGAAAUCGCAUGGGCCAAUACCCUGUGUGGAUGACGGUACCGGAAUAAGAAGCACCGGCUAACUACGUGCCAGCAGCCGCGGUAAUACGUAGGGUGCGAGCGUUAAUCGGAAUUACUGGGCGUAAAGCGUGCGCAGGCGGUUUUGUAAGACAGGCGUGAAAUCCCCGGGCUUAACCUGGGAACUGCGUUUGUGACUGCAAGGCUAGAGUACGGCAGAGGGGGGUGGAAUUCCACGUGUAGCAGUGAAAUGCGUAGAGAUGUGGAGGAACACCAAUGGCGAAGGCAGCCCCCUGGGUCGAUACUGACGCUCAUGCACGAAAGCGUGGGUAGCAAACAGGAUUAGAUACCCUGGUAGUCCACGCCCUAAACUAUGUCAACUAGGUGUUGGGUGGGUAAAACCAUUUAGUACCGUAGCUAACGCGUGAAGUUGACCGCCUGGGGAGUACGGCCGCAAGGUUAAAACUCAAAGGAAUUGACGGGGACCCGCACAAGCGGUGGAUGAUGUGGAUUAAUUCGAUGCAACGCGAAAAACCUUACCUACCCUUGACAUGCCAGGAACUUGCCAGAGAUGGCUUGGUGCCCGAAAGGGAGCCUGACACAGGUGCUGCAUGGCUGUCGUCAGCUCGUGUCGUGAGAUGUUGGGUUAAGUCCCGCAACGAGCGCAACCCUUGUCGUUAAUUGCCAUCAUUUGGUUGGGCACUUUAACGAGACUGCCGGUGACAAACCGGAGGAAGGUGGGGAUGACGUCAAGUCCUCAUGGCCCUUAUGGGUAGGGCUUCACACGUCAUACAAUGGUUGGUACAAAGGGUUGCCAAGCCGCGAGGCGGAGCCAAUCCCAGAAAGCCGAUCGUAGUCCGGAUUGCAGGCUGCAACUCGCCUGCAUGAAGUCGGAAUCGCUAGUAAUCGUGGAUCAGCAUGUCACGGUGAAUACGUUCCCGGGUCUUGUACACACCGCCCGUCACACCAUGGGAGCGGGUUCCGCAGAAGUAGGUAGCCUAACCGCAAGGGGGGCGCUUACCACGGCGGGGUUCGUGACUGGGGUGAAGUCGAAACAAGGUAGCCGUAGGGGAACCUGCGGCUG